AUUCUUUGUUUGUUGAAGAAAAGGCAGUCUUUCCAUUCAGGAAAUGGGCAGGGGCCAGAGGACAAGAAGAAACAAAUAAACAGGGCUUGCUUGGCUUUCAAAUUCCAGCUGAUGUACAUGGCUGAAUAAUUACCUAGAAAAUGAAGCUCAGCGUGGGCCUCUGGCUUUGAGAC
RNAcentral lists this long non-coding RNA (173 nucleotides) under Cavia porcellus (domestic guinea pig). RNAcentral describes it as "lncRNA (ENSCPOG00000039984.1)". The record is from RNAcentral. Lineage: Eukaryota; Metazoa; Chordata; Mammalia; Rodentia; Caviidae.